Molecule: ribosomal RNA, 253 nt
Filed under: uncultured bacterium
Lineage: Bacteria
Description: partial 16S ribosomal RNA
Rfam family: Bacterial small subunit ribosomal RNA
Source: RNAcentral
UACGGAGGGUGCGAACGUUAAUCGGAAUUACUGGGCGUAAAGGGCGCGUAGGUGGUUCUGUAUGUCUACCGUGAAAGCGUACGGCUCAACCGUAUUUUGUCGGUAGAAACUGCAGGACUUGAGGCUGGGAGGGGCUGGUGGAAUUCCCUGUGUAGCGGUGAAAUGCGUAGAGAUGGGGGAGAACACUCGUGGCGAAGGCGGCCAGCUAGACCAGUUCUGACACUGAGGCGCGAUAGCGUGGGGAGCAAACAGG